UCUCCAUCUAAAGAGGAAUUACAACAGGUGAAUCUAGCGUAGUUGAAGACGAAGUUGGAAAAGGAGAAUAUCACGUUUGGCUCGAGUUGAACACUAUACAUUCUCCGUUGCCUAAAUAAAGAUAUCAGAUUGCGAAGGAGAACCAUUUAAUUUUGAAGCUGAAUCAUUAGUCUGGAUGAAAAUAUACAUUGUCUGGUGCCCUAAAUAAAGAUAUCAGAUAGUGAAGGAGAGCCAUUUACUUUUGAAGUUGAACCAUUAGAAUCUGGAACUGCUACAAUAUGGAUAAGAGUUGGAUGCAAGGAAAAUCUAGGUUGCAUCCUGCAUAUAAAAGAGGUCUUAAUGAAUUUAUCAAGAUUGUUCGCGAUCACACAGAUAGCAUGGGAAGGACUCGUUGCCCUUGUGCCAGAUGCAAAAAUGGUCAUUUGGAGCCCAUCCAGGUGGUUGAAGAUCACUUGCAAGAUUUUGGAAUACACAAGGAUUAUACACUAUGGAUACACCAUGGAGAAGAUUAUGAAAUUGUCUCUGAUGAUGACGAUGUUGA
Long non-coding RNA from Papaver somniferum (opium poppy), 541 nucleotides. RefSeq lists it as uncharacterized. Lineage: Eukaryota; Viridiplantae; Streptophyta; Magnoliopsida; Ranunculales; Papaveraceae. The transcript is spliced from 5 exons. The record is from RefSeq and is a predicted model, not a curated record.